CCAUCUUAAUGAAGUCAUGAUGGCUUCCCUUGGACAAAAACAAUUUCACGAGCUGGUAAUGAACCAAUCUUGUCUGCGGAAAUCUACCAGCAGAUAAAUUUUCCGGCAAAAAGUAGGUCAAGAAAGAACAAGCUUUAUGGUCAGAACCGGGAACAUCUGUGGCAAGAAUAGAUUUAAUGUCACUAAGUUUUAAAUCAUCACAAGGAUGGCCAUCCCAUUCGACUUUUAGCCAUUCACUAACUCUCAGCUGCGAAGAGCUCACCAGUAUUACCUGUGUAGAAGUAACACGAAUCAGGCUCCUUAGUAGGCUAGUAUACAUCUUCGUUUUUAAGUUUAAGUGUGAAGAAAGAUCAAAUACAAUGUGGUUUAGAAGGCAGGAUUACUGUUGAUGAAUAAACUUCACUCAGAGAACAAAAACAAGAUUAAACAAUUAAAUUACCUUUCCGAGCAAAAAGCGAGCAGCUUCAUUUCCAGCUCCCGAACAUUUAAUUAGUAGACUGUUAAGGUUCUGAUAUCGAUAAAAGUUCUUAAAUUCCAUCUCAAGGUCAAAGUUGACGAGCUUAAGGAUGUGCUCGUCUUCUGCAAACAAAAGAAACUGCCUGCAACUGCAACAAAAAAUGUACAAAGAUAAUUUAGGGACCUUGUGUAUGUAAAUAUGUACACGAAGGCUAAAUCAAUCUAAAAAAUUUGCAACUUCUCAGAAAUGCCUGCAUUUGAUUAAUAACAUAUUCACUAGAACGACGGUGAACAAAACAUCACAGAAUUGUAUUCAAAGUACAACUAAGAAGGUGGAGCAGCCUCAAUAUGCUACAAUUGUGUCUCGUGCAUAUUGCUCAAAACGAGAUUAAAGAAAUGUAAGCCCAACCAACAUUUUUUUACCAAGAAGGCAGAAGAAGCCACAUGUGUGGCUUGCUCAGCUAUGCUACCUACGUGAGCAUUGUCUGAAUUGUAAUUGACCUAUCAGGCCAUCACCCUUACAAAAAUGAUACAUCUCAAAAAAUGUGGUAGCCAACCAGAGGAUAUCGACUGGGAAGAGAGCCCACCCUAUUUGCUCAGCAGUAAAGGGUGGUCCAACCCCAAAUAUGUAUAAAUUCUUUUAUACUUAUAAAAUUUAUGAAUAGAGGAAACCCUUUAAUUCUUUGUCACAAGCUUUUCAAAAAUAUUGCUCAAUGCCUCCGUGACCCACAGAAAAAUUGAACAAACACAACUAGCACUAAGUAAUAAGCAAAAAAUUCUUAACGAACUCUAUUUGACUAACACAGAACUAAUCUAGUAAUGAAUAAGUAAUUAUUAAGGAUUAUAAUACCGAACUUUGUGUACCAGAAUUUCAUAAAAGUACUACCUUAUUCUAAUUCGUCAUUGUUAUGAAAUUAGGCAACCAAUCAGAAAUGUAGGAAAAAACAUUGAAAAAUGGCAUGAUAAGUGAAUAACGGCAAUGGUAAGUGGAGCUUUAUAACAGAUUCACAUAAUAUACAAAUAUUUUAGACUUGGAAGGCUUAGAAUGUAAUUGUCCUACAAGGAUAUGAUCCUUGCAAAUGCAUUCACAUAAUAUACAAAUACUUUAGACUUGGAAGGCUUAGAACGUAAUUGUCUUACACAGAUAUGAUCCUUGCAAAUGCAACCGCUCCGCCUGGUGACUGCACCAACAAAAGUAUAAUAUAAUACAGUAGCUCAUACGGCAGCUGUUCCAUUGUUGCCAUUUCCUAUGCAGUUCAAGCUGGAAGUAAAAAUGAUUCAUAAGACCUCACAUCACCACAUUAACAGAUGAAGAGCACUUGCAUUCAGAAACUAAUACAAAUAUUAUGGCAAUUUAUCGAAUAUCAAUCAUAAAAUCAUCACAUGAUUAGAAUCAAAAGCACAAGAUAUGGAUCAUGUAUUAAGGUAUAGCAUGCUCCCUUAAACACCAUAUUGAGGCACAUCAGUGUAUUCAAAAUCCACAAAUAACCAUAAAAAAAAAACUAAUGAAGUAUAGUGAACAUAUUCAAAGACAGCUCUACGAUUAAGAUUCUACAGUUUACAACAUAACAAACAAUAAGAGGAAAUAAAUGAGUGGAUUAAUUAUAAUUAAGUGAAAAAGGAAACAUACGUUGCAACAAAAAUUGAGGAUUUUUAUAAACAAAUAAAAAGAUACGAUCCCCAUUAUAUACAUAUAUGGCAAAACAGAGACGGUGAGACCACAUAUAAGCACAUCAAAGACGUUCUAUACUAUAUGAAUUUAUAAGAGACAUCACAUUCACUAUAAACUAAUUAAAAAGAAGAUGUUAAAGUUUUAGUGUGUUACCGAGAUUAGCCAAGGAAAUAUAGAAUUCGGAGCUUUCACAAUUGAAAAUGGACUCGAGAAAAGGGGAACAAUAGAAAUACACGAAGCUUGGUAACAAGUCAAGAAAUGGGCAAUCCAACCAACAAAUCUAGACUGUUGAUAAAUCAACGGAUAAGAUUUGUCAUACCCACAACGAAACAUUGCUGGCAAGUGAAAUUAUUAUAUUAGCCUUAUUUAAAUAUUUAAUAUUAAUAAUUUCAAUUUUAAUUAUUUUUAAUUAAUAAUUCAAAUUAUUUUUUUGAAAUUAAAUCUUAGGAAUAUCAUUUACUAAAAUAAGGAUACGAAAUACGAUUGGAUGAAUAUGUGUGCUUUUUUUUUCCCCAUGUAUUUUAAUUUUUAAAAUAAAUAAAAGGAAAGUAUUAUUCUUAUGUUUAGCCAACCACUAGUCAACAAUUUGACGGAAAUGAACAAAAUAAUGAUAAGCAAAAUGAAUCAUUAAAAUUGAUCGUUGAGAGAUGAAUAAAAAUUCAGUGAAGUUGGAUUUUGAAAAAAGUUUAUCGAUUGACGGGAAAAAUCAAAUUAAAAAGAGCAAGGAUUAGCUGGGGUUGUGUGUGUGAGGGUAUAUUGUAUUUCCGUGUGCUGCCCCUGGCGGGGCCGUUAGAUUAGAUUGAAUAUAUGGCUAAGAUUAGUUCUCAUAUCUCACAUAGGUAUGUGGUUUCCAAUUGAGCACCUGCAUAUAUAUAUAUGCAUAUAUUCAUACACAAAUAUGUUGUAACUAAUAUAAUUUUAUUUAAAAUUUUAUCAUAAUUGAAUUUUGACGGAACCCUUGUUCAAGAAAUAAGAUAGACACUAAUUCAUCUUUUGAAUAAUACCCAUUCAAAUCAUGAUUAUUUAAAUUCAUUUUUUCAUCUUUAACUAUGUCUUUAAAAAAUGUCAAUAUAAACUUCAUUGUCGAAAUUUGCUAGAAAGAUGGGAAUGGUAGGAAAAAAGAAUUCAAUAGUAUUAUUUUUUUUCCAAAAUAUAUCUGUUCUUAUAUUGGUAAAACAUAUUUAACACACCAAUUCUUAUUUUUACAUAAAACUUUAAAUAAUAAGAUGCUCUCAGACUCCACCUAAUUAUUUUCGAAAUUCACAAUUGCCACUAUUAUUGUUUAUCAUUAAUGGUGCAUAAUAUUAUCCAACAGGUUGAGCCAAGCACAUGGCUGAUCCAAUGGUGCCUGUCAACCUCCACAAACAAAUAUUAUUUAUCAAUUAAUAUAAUUAUCGAUUUGUUUGGGGCAUAUAUUAAACACUAAUAUAUUGUUUGGGAUUGUUGUUACAUGCACUAACAACAGCUUUUUGCCCUGGAAGUAGUUGAAAAACUGUUUGACAAACGUAAAAAUAGUUUUGCUAAACAACUUUUUAUAACUCAAAGCCGAAAGCUAUCAUAGAUUUCACUGUCAAAACUCUUCAAAAAUAUUAUUUUUUAUAUUAUAACUCAAAAUAUGCAAAUAUCAAAAAAAAAAUUGUCAAACCGCGAUCUCAUUUCUACAACUACACUUAUUCUGACAGCACAACAACUUUUAACAGCACUCCCAAACAACCCUUAAAUUCUAUACAUUUAGCUUAUUUUGACUGAUUUAGUGUUUGUACAUGUAGGGAUCCACCAUUAUUAAGAAGUGACAACCAAUCAAAAUAAGUUAAACUUAUAAAAUGCAGUGGACACACACUGAAAAAAACGUAUAAUAAUUAUCAUAAUAAACAUUCGUGCUCUUAUCACACAUUGCUAUUUGUUGUCCAGUCACUGAUUCUUGUUAAACAUAAUACCCGCUUACUUAAUAUGAUUAUCACAUUUGAAUUUAAUUACUUUUAGCUUAGUAGUAAAAAAUAAUUUUGGUGUUGGUUCACCUUGUUGAUCAUGAUAAUUUUGUUAAAAUUAAUUUUUAGUUUGAUUAAAAUAAUUCAAAAUUCUGUAUACCAGAACAUGAUUGUGUGUCUGUGAAUUGGUGUUUGACUUACAUAGUGGCCAGCAUUAAGGAUUCAGUAGAAGUGUAAAUUCCUCAAGGACUUGAUGAACCCCUUUGUACCUUUCUCACCCCCACAGUACAAUGGACUUCUGUUCAUGCUUAAAAAAGUCUGUAGGCCUUCCCGCCUGAGAGUCCAGAGUAGUGAAGGAACAAAUCAUUUGGUGCAUGCAAAUGACUAAAUGAGUGCAUGCUAAGAGAGAUGACUUGCACAUGUAGGUACUGUCUAUCAAAAACUAGUGUCCCUUACUUUAGCUACCCAUGCUUCAGUUCCUUUGGUUGAACAGAUGAGAUCAAGCUACAACAUCCAACCAAACCAUAUCAUAAGCCGCGGACAAAAUUAAGGGCAUGGUGCCACAAUUACGGACAAAUUUUAAGCUAAUUUGAGGCGGGGACUGGGAAUUCUUGGAGAAAAAUCCUUACUUGUCCGCUGUAAUUUGUCACAUUGACUCCUUUUGCUAAAAGCUCAUCGACCUGUAUGCAACUUAAACGAAUAAACUGAGUGAUGGUUGAAUAGGUAAUUGCCUUGAUGUAGGAUUGGCAAACUUAAAAUGUCAGAAAAUAUGAAAAUUCAGUUCAAGAACAUAUGUGCACGUUUAGUACUAUUUUCCGAGUUCUAACUGAAUCCUGAUAAAACUAUAGAAUCUUUGAAGAUAUUGGCAUACCUCAUUGAUCCUUGGCUUCAUAAAAUUCUUAUGCAAGAGCAAUGAAAACAGAUCCUGCUUGCCCUCCCCAUCUGCGAAAAAGGAGGGGAAACCCCUUUGCUUACUUGCAGCAAAAAAAAAAGUGAUUCGCUAGUUCCAUAUAAAGGGGAGAAAAGAACUCACCGCACAUCUUCUCGGAUUAUCUUAUGUUUUCUCUAAGAACGCCAUUCAUUAAAGUGUUUAGAUCAGCUUCACCGCCUGGCACAGACCUCAAAGAAGCCAAAUAUCUUGAGUUUCCUUUCGACUUGACUUUUUGAGAUAGUUCAACAGCUCUUGUCGAGAGAGGAUCAAGUGCAGAAUCCAAGAGGAAAUUGCAGAAAUCCUAAAUAUCCAGCAUAAAGCGGUGAAGUUUAUAGAAGUAAUAUAUUAGACCACUACAGAAGCAUAAGAAUACGCAAUGCAGAGGAAAAUAAAGUACCACAGAAUUACUGUAACCUCCUCAAGUUCAAUCCAUGAAUUAGUUGCAGCUUCAUACUCUCCCUGAUCGAUGUGCUGCUUGGAUUUCUGAGUACGACUGGUGUCCAAAAUAUUUCAGUGCAGAACAUAUAACUAACUCUAUAUAUAUUGCAGAAAACAUUAACAGACUAAACAGAAAUUAAUGAAGUUCAAGUAGACAUUUAUUCUCACUUGUUAGCUUUCUCUAUGCCUUUAUUGUCAAGCCUCAAAACAACUCUAAGAAGAGGAGCCCAUGAAAACUGCAAGUACCAAAUUGACUGAGUAAGAGUUCAAUGCAAUAAUAAGAACAGAUCAGUCAUUUAUUCAAAAAAAAAAAAAGGACAGAUCAUUCAAGAAAAUGCAAAAAUAGAGAAUAAGCAAUAAUAUUCAAAGAAUCAACACUAACUCUGAUCAGAUUAGGCAUUUGAUAUGCAAAAAAGAAAAAGAAAACUAUUAAUUGAUGUUUGCGCAUUAAUGCAUAAUCGUGAGAACCACAAGAAUCAGGGAUAAUGUAGUGACCAAACGUACAAUAUCCCUCAAGCAAGAUAAUUAGCAGAGUGAAUAAGAAAACAGUGCUAUUUGGCAAGACGGAAUCAAGAAAAGAUAACAAAAGAAUGAUCAGCCUUCCAAUCCUUUUAACAUUCGGGGAGCACAUAUGUCUCAAGUUUCAAUACACUGAGAAAAGAACACCAGUCCUGAUUCCCCAAAAGUUUACAAAUCUUGUAUAACAUGUUUAAACUUAUACAAAUCAUGUUCAAAACAAUGAAUUGUCCCUGCUCGGACUUGGUUGAAAACAAGAUAUUCUUUAUCCAACAGGUUGUUCGUACCAUUCCUCCAAAAUUCCUCUACAAAAUCGUCGUCAUAUAUUGCCUGUUGCCAAUCCACGCCAACAGUUCUACAUCUUCUAUCAAGUUCGUCUAAAAAGAAAAGAGCUACAGAAGUCAUCCUAAGGUAUCUUCGCACUGAAGAAUAUCCUGAUGGGUCUUCCCAAGUAUCUCUGAGCUCCCUGUAGGUGUCCAUAAACAAUUCUUUAUUCUUGACCAGUUUUUCCACUGCUUUGAUAUGAUGAGCACGUGAGACAAGAUAUUCGAUGAACCCGAAUACGAGGCUAGAUUCUCCACAUUUGGUAAAGUACCUAAUAUAACUUUUUAGGAAUAUAUCCAUCUUAAUGAAGUCAUGAUGGCUUCCCUUGGACAAAAACAAUUUCACGAGCUGGUAAUGAACCAAUCUUGUCUGCGGAAAUCUACCAGCAGAUAAAUUUUCCGGCAAAAAGUAGGUCAAGAAAGAACAAGCUUUAUGGUCAGAACCGGGAACAUCUGUGGCAAGAACAGAUUUAAUGUCACUAAGUUUUAAAUCAUCACAAGGAUGGCCAUCCCAUUCGACUUUUAGCCAUUCACUA
Molecule: long non-coding RNA, 6800 nt
Filed under: Daucus carota (carrot)
Lineage: Eukaryota; Viridiplantae; Streptophyta; Magnoliopsida; Apiales; Apiaceae
Description: long non-coding RNA (DCAR_LNC001297)
Source: RNAcentral